RNAcentral lists this long non-coding RNA (388 nucleotides) under Homo sapiens (human). RNAcentral's name for it is "HSALNT0321517". The record is from RNAcentral. Lineage: Eukaryota; Metazoa; Chordata; Mammalia; Primates; Hominidae.
UCUUCCUUUCUAUCAUAGCCUGAUGUAGUUUUUCAGGUUCCUUUGGGUCCCCUUGGCUGAGAGUGGAGUCCAUUCGGUCAGCUGGGGGAAUUUAGACUUUUACUUUUGGUUUACAGGUGAAUAACAACAUCAAGAAGAAAAUGGAAGCUAUCAGAAAAGCCUCUACCAUCCCCACCACAUCUACCUGUCUACCUGUGUGUGUUCCUAAACUCCAGCUUCUCUCAUGAAAGAACUCUCCAUGCAUCUGGCUUAAGGUCAUCCCAUCCCUGAUCUCCACUUAAGAAUUAAGCUGGAGGACUUUAUCCUUAGCAAACCAAUGCAGGAACAGAAAACCAAAUGCUGCGUGUUCUCACAAAUGAAUUGGAUCUAAUGAUGAGAACACAUGGAC